AUUACACAAAUAUGAAGGCGGGCUGGAACCUCUCGGGGGUUACAGCCUUGCUGANNUAUUCACCCUUGUCUUUUGCGUACUUCUUGUUUCCUUGGUGGGUUCGCCCACCACUAGGACAAACAUAAACCUUUUGUAAUUGCAAUCAGCGUCAGUAACAAAUUAAUAAUUACAACUUUCAACAACGGAUCUCUUGGUUCUGGCAUCGAUGAAGAACGCAGCGAAAUGCGAUAAGUAGUGUGAAUUGCAGAAUUCAGUGAAUCAUCGAAUCUUUGAACGCACAUUGCGCCCUUUGGUAUUCCAAAGGGCAUGCCUGUUCGAGCGUCAUUUGUACCCUCAAGCUUUGCUUGGUGUUGGGCGUCUUGUCUCUAGCUUUGCUGGAGACUCGCCUUAAAGUAAUUGGCAGCCGGCCUACUGGUUUCGGAGCGCAGCACAAGUCGCACUCUCUAUCAGCAAAGGUCUAGCAUCCAUUAAGCCUUUUUUCAACUUUUGACCUCGGAUCAGGUAGGGAUACCCGCUGAACUUAAGCAUAUCAAUAAGCGGAGGAAAAGAAACCAACAGGGAUUGCCCUAGUAACGGCGAGUGAAGCGGCAACAGCUCAAAUUUGAAAUCUGGCUCUUUUAGAGUCCGAGUUGUAAUUUGCAGAGGGCGCUUUGGCUUUGGCAGCGGUCCAAGUUCCUUGGAACAGGACGUCACAGAGGGUGAGAAUCCCGUACGUGGUCGCUGGCUAUUGCCGUGUAAAGCCCCUUCGACGAGUCGAGUUGUUUGGGAAUGCAGCUCUAAAUGGGAGGUACAUUUCUUCUAAAGCUAAAUAUUGGCCAGAGACCGAUAGCGCACAAGUAGAGUGAUCGAAAGAUGAAAAGCACUUUGGAAAGAGAGUCAAACAGCACGUGAAAUUGUUGAAAGGGAAGCGCUUGCAGCCAGACUUGCUUACAGUUGCUCAUCCGGGUUUUUACCCGGUGCACUCUUCUGUAGGCAGGCCAGCAUCAGUUUGGGCGGUAGGAUAAAGGUCUCUGUCAC
Molecule: ribosomal RNA, 1017 nt
Filed under: fungal sp. AM0187
Lineage: Eukaryota; Fungi
Description: eukaryotic LSU rRNA
Rfam family: Eukaryotic large subunit ribosomal RNA (bases 488-1017)
Source: RNAcentral